Long non-coding RNA from Heterocephalus glaber (naked mole-rat), 2123 nucleotides. Lineage: Eukaryota; Metazoa; Chordata; Mammalia; Rodentia; Bathyergidae. The record is from Ensembl.
CAUGUAUUUCUUUCUGAGAUUUCUGAAAUAUUUGGUUCCCUGACCGGGAAUCGGGAAUGAAAUAUCCCUUUUGAGCAUUAGCCUGAAUCCCACUGGAGGGAGUGGCUCUCCAUCUCCUCAAGAGGAAAGGCACACCCCUGGGACUAAUUUCCUAGGCUCCCCAACAGGACACACUUCCUGGCUGAGAUCACCCGAACCCAGGACGACAGAAGGAGGGCUGCUGCUGUUGGUGUCUCAUCUGUCUCUUUCCUUUGCUGGAUGGGAGCAGCUUCGUGGAAGAUGGAGUUUGUCAUGCUGGAUAUGAGGUAACCACAAAGAAUGAGGUGAUCCUAGCCGGAGCCCCUUCCUAGUUGGCACAGCAUGCUGAGCUCUGGGCACUCAUACAGGCACUCCGAUGGGCAAAGGGUAAAAAGAGGCUGGUGAGUCAACACACGACUGAAGAACGGAAGCACCAACAAGGAUGAUAUGGAUUAUUGUAUUGUGCCAGAUCACCACUGCUUUAAGUUUCUUUGUUUUCAAACUGCAGGUGUUUAGGCCUAGUGAUGAAGUUUGAUGAACAAUAUGUGACUUGUAAAAUGGGAACCAGAAGGCUAUCCAUUUACAAUAUUUGAUGCCUACCCCCAAAAAACAUUAUGGGGGACCUGGGGUAGCUUCUGACUUUGGGGGUAUUCUAAUGAGAAAUUAUAUUGCAAAGAGAAAACACAAGUUUGGAUCAAUGGCUCCCUUGUUGGAUGAGCCACUGGUAAUUGUGUAAACAAGGUCAAUGUAAUCCUAUAUCUAUGUAUAUGCCAGCCCCAUGGGAUCCUAUUUGGCUAAAAGGAGAAAUAUAUUUCAUUAGGACAAGAAAUUAGAAAAGAUCUUGAGGAAAUUCAAGAUGCACUUCAGGCUUUAGAAACCCAACUAGAUUCACUGGCCAAUGUCAUAUUACAGAAUAGGCAUGCUCUCAAUUUGCUAACAGCCCAGAAAGGAAGGACUUGCUUAUUUCUUGGUGAAGAGUGUUAUUAUUACACUAAUAAAUCUGGUAUAGUGUAGUACAAGAAUCACUAGACAAACUGAAAGAUCAGAUCAAGGCUCUUGAUAAGGAAUUUGGUAUAGGAGAGCUAUCCUAUGGGAUUAAUUUUACUUGGGCAGGAUGGAAAACUUGGACAGGACCUCUUCUGAGUCCCCUUCUUGUUAUAAUAUUAAUAUUAAUGUUUGGUCCUUGUGUCAUCCAAUGGAUUUCAAAAUUUAUACAGCAGCUCAUUGAUGCAGCUCAACACUACCAAAUGCUAGUGUUAAGAAAUGUAGAUAAACUGGAUAGAACUUAUAAUGGAUAGAAGAACUAUCCCAAAGUAAACACAGGGAGGAAUGAUAGGGAAAAGUUUUAGAUAACUUAGUAAAUUGAAUAUUAAGGUAGUUGUAGAAGCAAAAUAAGUAAUGUGUUCCUUUAAGAUUUGCUUGUCCUGUAACUCUCAUUGCUUAAGGUAAUCUGACUCUAACCAGUAACUUCAUUAACCUAACAAAGUUGCAUUGUGUGGCUGAAUUUACAAUGUAUAUGUGCCUAUCUUGUGUCUGUGACUUGUAAAUAGGAACUGGAAUUGUAUUUACACAUCAAAGACCACUAGGGAUGAGAUAAUGGCUAAAAAGGAUAUGAAAAGGGAAACACUGAACAAGGGCUCAGAUACUAACCAGACUGGUUUCUGGCGGUCCCGCCCACUUGCAAGUAGAACUUUUAUUAUUUUAUCCGAAUUGUGUCUCCGUGUAUUUCUUUCCAAGAUUUCUAGAACAGUUGCUGCUGACUCAAUUAGGAUAGUCCUAUUGGAAUAUUGUUGAGCCUACUUUAAGUGGAUCUUUCAUGCCAAGUGUUGAGUGAAUUUACCAAAUCAGUAAGUGAGGCUUCAGCGAGCUUACAGAGCAGGUUGUAUACACUUACCCUUGUGGUUAUUAAGAGUGUAAUCAUUAUGUGCUGCAAAAGUACUAAUAAAAAAUAAAAAUGGAAAAAAUGUUUUUUGAAAUCUGUAUGUGAGGGAGUUUGGUUUGAGUUUGAUUUCUUGGUAUAAAGAUUGUAGGAUCCUCAGACACUUCAAAAAUGUCAAGAAUUGUAAAAGCUGUGUAUGUUAGCUCAGGUCUGUUACAAAUACUAG